CCCUUAGAUGUUCUGGGCCGCACACGCGCUACACUGAAGGAGGCAGCGUGUACUCCUGGAUCGAAAGAUUUGGGUAACCCGCGAAUCUCCUUCGUGCUAGGGAUUGAGGUUUGCAAUUAUCCUUCAUGAACGAGGAAUUCCCAGUAAGUGCAAGUCAUAAGCUUGCGCUGACUACGUCCCUGCCCUUUGUACACACCGCCCGUCGCUACUACCGAUUGAAUGAUUUAGUGAGGAUUUCGGACUGGGACCGAUGCGGCUUUCGGGCUGCGUCGGUAUUCUGGAAAGAUGUCCAAACUGUAUCAUUUAGAGGAAGUAAAAGUCGUAACA
Molecule: ribosomal RNA, 327 nt
Filed under: uncultured eukaryote
Lineage: Eukaryota
Description: partial 18S ribosomal RNA
Rfam family: Eukaryotic small subunit ribosomal RNA
Source: RNAcentral